GCGGGGGGGAAGCGGUGGGAAGGGUCGCGUUGGAGGGGCAGCGAAAAAGGGUCAGAGGCUGCUGGGGGCUGCAGAGGACACCGAGUGCCGCCCCGAGCAGUGUCCCUGGGCUCCAAACUGGAGGAGCACGUUGUCAUUGACACACUGUGGUCAUCCUGAACUGGUGCUUCAAGCAGAGACUGCUCAACAUGAGGAGGAUCUGCAUGUUCAUGCUGGACAAGGCUGGACCUCAUGAUUGACAUGCAGGACUUCUCCUCCCAGAGCAUCCACAUCCAGAGAUGGAUCACAGAAACCUGCUUUUGGCACAGGAAAAUGCAAAAGGGGAGAGUUAGAAGGGCUCUCCUAAAAGACUGACAGAUGCUGCUUUUCUCUGCCACCUUCUGUAAAAUGUGUGGAAGUUCACCUUGUAGAUCAUCUCCAGAUCCAUCAUCAUCAAGCUGUGGCAGGAGAAGCUUGCCCUAACCAACACCAGGCUACUGCUUUGUCUGCAGGAACUGGGAGCAGAAGUAUGCAGCCCUCUGCAACCGCUAUGGCAGCAUUUCCAGGCCUUAAUGUUCUGCCAGGUACAGCUCAUUGGUAAGCAGUGAGCUGCCAGUGAUCCAUCUGACAUGAUCAAGCCCAGUGUGAUGUCAGCUCUGCUUCAAUGAUCGCCAAAAACGAGGGAACAAGGUGCAAGGGACGGAUGGGAAACACACAGUGAGAAUUAAAAGCUCAGAGUGGUAACAGCAUCUAAUAGUUGGAACCAAGCCAGUUGCUUGGCUUUCGUGGUGGGCAUUACGUGGAAACCAUGCUCUGUUCCCUCAACCUUUGUGUUCAAAAGCAUUUGGUGACCCAAUUUCUUUCUUUUUUUUUUUUUUUCUUUUUUUUUUUUGCCUUAGUUUGAGGCUCUGCCUAUUCCAAAGCACCAGAGACUUGGAAAAGAGCAGGGGUGUUGGGAAUAUGUGGGACUGGCAGCGAGGGAGUAAGGAUUUGGGUAAAGUGAUGGACAGGCUUUAAGUUAGAGGAACAAUAGUAGGGAUUUGGAGAAGUUAAAGGUACAUAGAUUGAAACCAACAGUUGCAGAGCUGCUGGAGAAGCUCGGUUGCCUUCUUUCAUCCAUGCAGACCUGCUGGAGGGCAGACUGACUCAGUGAAGAUGAUUCUAGAUGGGCACUGAGUGGUCCUUCAUUCAUUCUCUAUACUUCUGUCUCCCUUUUUUCCAAACCAUCUGUUAGGAAAAGUUCUGCUGAGAAUGAACUUUUAUGCAUGUAGAGAAAGGAAUAAAAAAAAUAAUAAUAAUCUCAAGGAAUCCAUACCUAGUGACGCAAAGAGAAGCGUGGAAGAUUCAAAGUCUUGGCCUGAGAAAAUUAUUUGGUCAGCAAUAUAAAAAAUGGAGAGAGCAGACAGUCAAGACCAGAAAUGUAGAUUUGCCAGUAAUCAAGCCAGAUGCUUAAGAUUUUGAUGGUAUAUUUGUGGUGACAGGGAGGAGUGUGUUAAGUGGUGCACAUUAGAUAAGCUAGGCAUCACUUGGAAACCUGUGUGCCUGGAGCACUUAGUGUCAUGCUCAGGGUGCUGCCAGGGUAGAGGUCCUGUCCACAGGAAGAAAUGAGCAAGACAUAUGGAAGGACGGGGAGCCACAUUUUAACCUUGAGUUGAUGGCUAGAUAGGAAGGAUCUUGGAGCACUAACUUGGUCUAGGGAAGAGAAACCAGAAGUGUAACUGGAUGUGAGUUCUCCUCUUUUGCUGUUGUCUUGUCUGCCCACCUCAGCUUGGGCAGAGCCAUGGAAGCCCUCAGUCUUGUUCUCCCAAGGGAUUCUGUUCGAUGCUGGAACUAUGAAAGUAGGUUUAUGCUCCCACCCCAGGGAGCUGGGUAACUUCCCAGUUCUGAGGCACGCAGGUGGGAGAGGGCAGGCCACUGCCUCUGCCCCUUUCUGUCUCUGCUUAAUGGCAGCAUUUCUUCUUCUUCCUGUCAAGACCCUGCUCAAGAAGUUGUCUCACUCCAAUCUAUAGGAGGGAGAGGAGGUUCUUUUGUUGUCUAUCUACUCGGUGUGAAACAACAGUUCAAAUGUUGGUCCGACCAGUUUAUUACAAAUCUUCAUUAGGGAAAUGGGGAAGGGGAGGACGGACACUAUUAUGAAUUAGAGUAAUGGGGAAGGGAAGGAGGGCGAUAGAAAAGAUAGGAAAGAAGAAAAGAAGAAGCAAGGAGUCUUUAUAGGAAGCAAGAGGGAGAUGAUCACCACCAUGGAUCCAGCGUGGUUUGUAGUUCAGUCAUUGAUCUUCAGUAGGGUGGGUGGCCAGACAGAGUUGGUCUGUUGAUGACGGCGAUGACAACGACCGUGGCAAUGAUGGCCCCUUUUCAAUGGUUUCAAAGCAGCCGAGUCAGCUGUCUUUGGAGUGACAGCUCAAAUCCACAGUGGUUGAGUCAGCUCUCCUUGGAGUGGCAGCUUCUGGCUCUGGGAUCUCAGCAGAAACUCCUUUGUUCUUCCGGGCCUUGCCAGCAGAUAAGAGGGAGCAGGGAUGCCCAUCUGCAUCCUGUUUUUCAUGGGACACAAUGGUAUCAUUCCCCAGUUUUCCCAUACCUAGCUGGAGCUGUUUAGUCACAGGCCAGAUCUUCAGCCAGUGAACACUCCCGAGUGCUCUCUUCCAGAGGCAAGCAGCUCUGGAGGAAGGGGCUUUCAAAUGUUCCCAAAGCGAUAUCGAUUGUCACACGGUUAGCACCCAUCACUUGCCUCCUCAACAAAUCGAUCAGAGUUUUAUCACACAAAAUACCUCAGGAAGCAAGCUUUGAGCCAAAAAAAAAAAAAACAAAAAAAACAAAAAAAAAACCAAAGAAGGAUUCUCGCAGAAGUACAUUGUAGUUGUAAGGAAUUACAGAUUUUAUUUUAAACAGUCAGUCUUGGGGUGUGGAGCCUUGAAAGAUAUGUCUCAGAUAGUAGUGUUGCAGAAACACAGGCCGUAUCCUUGCCUCCAGCCAUGACACUUGGGAAACCCUCACUGGAAGCCAGUCGGAGCUGACUUACAUGCGCUUGCUAAUUCAGAGGGAAAAACGGUUUUGUGUUUGAGGUGGGUUUCAGUUAUUUCUCAGGCUUUUGCUUUGAUGCUCAACUGAUGCUUUCGAAAGUUAAUUUGGUUAUUUAUUAACGAGGCUGUCUUACUGCAAGCAAAGACCUCAUGGAGCUCAAUAUAUAUCUCGUUCCACAAAUUUUUAUUAGAAAGAAUGAAUACUACAACUUUGCAAGGAUUUUAGCAGUAUGUAAAUCUUCCAUGAUAAACUAGCUUUAGCUACAGAAAUUACAGGGACCAACACUUAUUUCUGCUGGUUCAUUUAUAAUUUACACCAAUGUCAUACUUUGCCCAUGGUAAUAAAUUCCAUUCAUGAUGCAGUUCUAGUUUCAGUUUUGAUGAUAAAACAGAAGUGUCCACAGUGGUCUGUUGCAGCGGAGCGUUCUCAAGGCUGGGAUUGCUGUUCUCUGUACACUGCCUUCCUUCUCUAUGUGCUCACUAGUGAGUUUCUAACCUUAAGUAUAUUACUAAAAAUGUUGAAAGCAUUCUUGCCCUUACAGUGAGCAAGGUAGCAAGCUGAGGAGCAGACUUGGGGUCGCAUUUUCAUUGCAGUAAUGGUUUCAAGGCUCUUGCUUGCUUCUAUCAAUACUGUAAAAUAAAAAUCUUUUGCAAGAGAAAAACUUCAGUGCAUUUUUUUUCUCUUUGUUAUUUCUGAAAUGCUGGCUACCACACUUGAAGUGGAACAAUAUGAGUAAAUGACAAAUACACAAAGGUUUUUCUGGAGAGAGCAAGGUCUGAUGUGGAGGGUUGAACUAUUAAAUCAGCCAGUUGAAUGAAGUUCCCAUUACUUCAUUCUACAUUGCAGAGUUCUCCAUUAGCCACAUAAAGAACACUGGAACUAUAAAGUAAAAAUGCUAUGCUGCUCUCUGCAGAAAAAAAUGGCCUGUAGAAAUAAUGGACAGUGAGGGGAGGGGUGGGAGGAACUCAGAAGAGCUCUGUGCAGACAGUAGCGUACAGGUUUUGCUGAACUGCUUACAUGAAAUGAUGUUUCAGGCUCAAUCAUAACUGUGUAGUCAAAGUAGUCACAUGCCACACAAAACUUUCCUCCAAAGUCUCAGAAGAUAGUUUGAUGCUACAUUGUGAUGGCCAAGUGCAGGUUCAAGAAGUGAAAAGUCUCACAGUAGCUUUCUCACCUUCAGUUGCUUUGUAGCAUGAAUUGAUUUUGCAUGGUUUGUUAGAUUUACCGUGGUUGUUGGCAUCGAGGAGUAAGUGCAGCUGUUCUGCUGAAACACCUGCAGCCUGUUCUCUGCAUUAUCCAUGCAUAUGACGGGGAGGUCAGCACCAGAAUGACAAU
Lagopus muta (rock ptarmigan) is the source of this 4335-nucleotide long non-coding RNA. RefSeq lists it as uncharacterized. The record is from RefSeq and is a predicted model, not a curated record. The transcript is spliced from 3 exons. NCBI's taxonomy places the organism in Eukaryota, Metazoa, Chordata, Aves, Galliformes, Phasianidae.